GCCUUCCAAAGGAGAAAAGAUUGAUAUAGGUAAAGAAGUAUCUGAUGUCAAGAAAGCUGGUUGCUGUUCAUCCUAAGGGCUAUAAUCUGUGCUGCUGUAUCCUGUUCUAGGUGCACCGGUAGUGUAAAAUUGUCCAGACUACCUUUGACACGAUCCUAUUUGAUACUACUACCUUUUAAAUUGGUUUUUGUUUUGGUUGGUAGUAAAGAAUAUCAAUGUUAGAGAACCUCUUUUCUAAUGGAACCAAACCCUUUGUGUAGACCUGUUAUGGCUUAACUAUUGAAUCAUUCUUUCUCUCUUUUCAAUUA
RNAcentral lists this long non-coding RNA (308 nucleotides) under Solanum tuberosum (potato). Its description in RNAcentral is "long non-coding RNA (STUB_LNC002988)". Lineage: Eukaryota; Viridiplantae; Streptophyta; Magnoliopsida; Solanales; Solanaceae. The record is from RNAcentral.